UACGAAGGGGGCUAGCGUUGCUCGGAUUGACUGGGCGUAAAGAGCGUGUAGGCGGUCCGGUAAGUCCGCUGUGAAAGUCGGGGGCUCAACCCUCGAAUGCCGGUGGAUACUGUCGGGCUAGAGUGCGGAAGAGGCGAGUGGAAUUCCUGGUGUAGCGGUGAAAUGCGCAGAUAUCAGGAGGAACACCUAUUGCGAAGGCAGCUCGCUGGGACGUAACUGACGCUGAGACGCGAAAGCGUGGGGAGCAAACAGG
Molecule: ribosomal RNA, 253 nt
Filed under: uncultured bacterium
Lineage: Bacteria
Description: partial 16S ribosomal RNA
Rfam family: Bacterial small subunit ribosomal RNA
Source: RNAcentral